RNAcentral lists this ribosomal RNA (2904 nucleotides) under Escherichia coli. RNAcentral describes it as "23S ribosomal RNA". It matches the Rfam family "Bacterial large subunit ribosomal RNA". The record is from RNAcentral. Lineage: Bacteria; Pseudomonadati; Pseudomonadota; Gammaproteobacteria; Enterobacterales; Enterobacteriaceae.
GGUUAAGCGACUAAGCGUACACGGUGGAUGCCCUGGCAGUCAGAGGCGAUGAAGGACGUGCUAAUCUGCGAUAAGCGUCGGUAAGGUGAUAUGAACCGUUAUAACCGGCGAUUUCCGAAUGGGGAAACCCAGUGUGAUUCGUCACACUAUCAUUAACUGAAUCCAUAGGUUAAUGAGGCGAACCGGGGGAACUGAAACAUCUAAGUACCCCGAGGAAAAGAAAUCAACCGAGAUUCCCCCAGUAGCGGCGAGCGAACGGGGAGGAGCCCAGAGCCUGAAUCAGUGUGUGUGUUAGUGGAAGCGUCUGGAAAGGCGCGCGAUACAGGGUGACAGCCCCGUACACAAAAAUGCACAUGCUGUGAGCUCGAUGAGUAGGGCGGGACACGUGGUAUCCUGUCUGAAUAUGGGGGGACCAUCCUCCAAGGCUAAAUACUCCUGACUGACCGAUAGUGAACCAGUACCGUGAGGGAAAGGCGAAAAGAACCCCGGCGAGGGGAGUGAAAAAGAACCUGAAACCGUGUACGUACAAGCAGUGGGAGCCUCUUUUAUGGGGUGACUGCGUACCUUUUGUAUAAUGGGUCAGCGACUUAUAUUCUGUAGCAAGGUUAACCGAAUAGGGGAGCCGAAGGGAAACCGAGUCUUAACUGGGCGUUAAGUUGCAGGGUAUAGACCCGAAACCCGGUGAUCUAGCCAUGGGCAGGUUGAAGGUUGGGUAACACUAACUGGAGGACCGAACCGACUAAUGUUGAAAAAUUAGCGGAUGACUUGUGGCUGGGGGUGAAAGGCCAAUCAAACCGGGAGAUAGCUGGUUCUCCCCGAAAGCUAUUUAGGUAGCGCCUCGUGAAUUCAUCUCCGGGGGUAGAGCACUGUUUCGGCAAGGGGGUCAUCCCGACUUACCAACCCGAUGCAAACUGCGAAUACCGGAGAAUGUUAUCACGGGAGACACACGGCGGGUGCUAACGUCCGUCGUGAAGAGGGAAACAACCCAGACCGCCAGCUAAGGUCCCAAAGUCAUGGUUAAGUGGGAAACGAUGUGGGAAGGCCCAGACAGCCAGGAUGUUGGCUUAGAAGCAGCCAUCAUUUAAAGAAAGCGUAAUAGCUCACUGGUCGAGUCGGCCUGCGCGGAAGAUGUAACGGGGCUAAACCAUGCACCGAAGCUGCGGCAGCGACGCUUAUGCGUUGUUGGGUAGGGGAGCGUUCUGUAAGCCUGUGAAGGUGUACUGUGAGGUAUGCUGGAGGUAUCAGAAGUGCGAAUGCUGACAUAAGUAACGAUAAAGCGGGUGAAAAGCCCGCUCGCCGGAAGACCAAGGGUUCCUGUCCAACGUUAAUCGGGGCAGGGUGAGUCGACCCCUAAGGCGAGGCCGAAAGGCGUAGUCGAUGGGAAACAGGUUAAUAUUCCUGUACUUGGUGUUACUGCGAAGGGGGGACGGAGAAGGCUAUGUUGGCCGGGCGACGGUUGUCCCGGUUUAAGCGUGUAGGCUGGUUUUCCAGGCAAAUCCGGAAAAUCAAGGCUGAGGCGUGAUGACGAGGCACUACGGUGCUGAAGCAACAAAUGCCCUGCUUCCAGGAAAAGCCUCUAAGCAUCAGGUAACAUCAAAUCGUACCCCAAACCGACACAGGUGGUCAGGUAGAGAAUACCAAGGCGCUUGAGAGAACUCGGGUGAAGGAACUAGGCAAAAUGGUGCCGUAACUUCGGGAGAAGGCACGCUGAUAUGUAGGUGAAGCGACUUGCUCGUGGAGCUGAAAUCAGUCGAAGAUACCAGCUGGCUGCAACUGUUUAUUAAAAACACAGCACUGUGCAAACACGAAAGUGGACGUAUACGGUGUGACGCCUGCCCGGUGCCGGAAGGUUAAUUGAUGGGGUCAGCGCAAGCGAAGCUCUUGAUCGAAGCCCCGGUAAACGGCGGCCGUAACUAUAACGGUCCUAAGGUAGCGAAAUUCCUUGUCGGGUAAGUUCCGACCUGCACGAAUGGCGUAAUGAUGGCCAGGCUGUCUCCACCCGAGACUCAGUGAAAUUGAACUCGCUGUGAAGAUGCAGUGUACCCGCGGCAAGACGGAAAGACCCCGUGAACCUUUACUAUAGCUUGACACUGAACAUUGAGCCUUGAUGUGUAGGAUAGGUGGGAGGCUUUGAAGUGUGGACGCCAGUCUGCAUGGAGCCGACCUUGAAAUACCACCCUUUAAUGUUUGAUGUUCUAACGUUGACCCGUAAUCCGGGUUGCGGACAGUGUCUGGUGGGUAGUUUGACUGGGGCGGUCUCCUCCUAAAGAGUAACGGAGGAGCACGAAGGUUGGCUAAUCCUGGUCGGACAUCAGGAGGUUAGUGCAAUGGCAUAAGCCAGCUUGACUGCGAGCGUGACGGCGCGAGCAGGUGCGAAAGCAGGUCAUAGUGAUCCGGUGGUUCUGAAUGGAAGGGCCAUCGCUCAACGGAUAAAAGGUACUCCGGGGAUAACAGGCUGAUACCGCCCAAGAGUUCAUAUCGACGGCGGUGUUUGGCACCUCGAUGUCGGCUCAUCACAUCCUGGGGCUGAAGUAGGUCCCAAGGGUAUGGCUGUUCGCCAUUUAAAGUGGUACGCGAGCUGGGUUUAGAACGUCGUGAGACAGUUCGGUCCCUAUCUGCCGUGGGCGCUGGAGAACUGAGGGGGGCUGCUCCUAGUACGAGAGGACCGGAGUGGACGCAUCACUGGUGUUCGGGUUGUCAUGCCAAUGGCACUGCCCGGUAGCUAAAUGCGGAAGAGAUAAGUGCUGAAAGCAUCUAAGCACGAAACUUGCCCCGAGAUGAGUUCUCCCUGACUCCUUGAGAGUCCUGAAGGAACGUUGAAGACGACGACGUUGAUAGGCCGGGUGUGUAAGCGCAGCGAUGCGUUGAGCUAACCGGUACUAAUGAACCGUGAGGCUUAACCUU